GUAAAAGACCCGGGCUCAACCGGGGGGUAGCAUCUGAAACUGAUUGGCUAGAGGGCAGGAGAGGGGAGUGGAAUUCCCGGUGUAGCGGUGAAAUGCGUAGAUAUCGGGAGGAAUACCAGUGGCGAAGGCGACUCUCUGGACUGGCCCUGACGCUGAGGCGCGAAAGCGUUGGGAGCGAACAGGAUUAGAUACCCUGGUAGUC
Molecule: ribosomal RNA, 202 nt
Filed under: Thermoanaerobacter sp.
Lineage: Bacteria; Bacillati; Bacillota; Clostridia; Thermoanaerobacterales; Thermoanaerobacteraceae
Description: partial 16S ribosomal RNA
Rfam family: Bacterial small subunit ribosomal RNA
Source: RNAcentral